This is a long non-coding RNA of Varroa destructor (honeybee mite), 582 nucleotides long. RefSeq lists it as uncharacterized. Lineage: Eukaryota; Metazoa; Arthropoda; Arachnida; Mesostigmata; Varroidae. The record is from RefSeq and is a predicted model, not a curated record.
UUUACCGUAGAAUAACAUCGACAGUGCCUUUUAAACGAGCGGAAGCUUGAAUGUAACCUAAGGAAUCAGAACAGUCAAUGCCUAGCAUUUUUUAUUCUCUGUAAGAAGUAAUGGAUGACUCUAGUUAUGGUUCAGCUACGACUAAUGGCGGAUGGCGCUGUCUACAGACAAUCCAGUAGAUUGUCGUUGCGUCCAGCCAAUUUAAAGUAGGGAGUCUGUCGAUUUUGCACGUCAACGAUCGAAAUGGGGCGCAUGGUUUACUGUAGCACACAGUGGGCGAAGAGGAAACACAGUCCAGGGCUGACUGAGAACGACGGAGAAUCAGAAACGAGUUUUCAGAUGUAUUCGCUGCUUCUACUAUAGGUUCUAUGCAACAUUGUCUUGUUCGACAAUGUAUUGCAGAGCAAGAACACACGAAAAGUAGAUUUAUCUGGAGGAUUUGGUGAAGUGGAGUUUGCUAGGAAUGGUGGACGAAUCUUACGGCAGGAGAAAAAGGAAGAGGCGAGGAGACAUUAAACCCAAGAAGAGGAAAGCGACAGAUGCAGAGGGAUGAAGGCACAGGCAGCAUCCGGGUUCGGCUUG